This 96-nucleotide transfer RNA is filed under the name Mycolicibacterium chitae. Its description in RNAcentral is "tRNA-Asp(gtc)". Lineage: Bacteria; Bacillati; Actinomycetota; Actinomycetes; Mycobacteriales; Mycobacteriaceae. The record is from RNAcentral.
GGCGCCGGUGCGGGGGCGGGAGCCGGCGCCGCUGUCGACGGCGCCAGGCUGGCCAGCGGCAUGUUGUCGGGACGGUUCGGCGCGGUCGCGGCGGCA